Molecule: ribosomal RNA, 468 nt
Filed under: uncultured bacterium
Lineage: Bacteria
Description: bacterial SSU rRNA
Rfam family: Bacterial small subunit ribosomal RNA
Source: RNAcentral
ACGAACGCUGGCGGCGUGCUUAACACAUGCAAGUCAAGGGGGGCCCGCAAGGGUCAACCGGCGAACGGGUGCGUAACACGUGAGCGACCUGCCCAGUUGCGGGGGAUAGCCGGCCCAACGGCCGGGUAAUACCGCAUACGCGUCCUUGGGGGCAUUCCUGGGGACGGAAACCUACGGGGCGAUUGGAGGGGCUCGCGGCCUAUCAGCUAGUUGGUGCGGUAACGGCGCACCAAGGCGAUGACGGGUAGCUGGUCUGAGAGGAUGGCCAGCCACAUUGGGACUGAGAGACGGCCCAGACUCCUACGGGAGGCAGCAGUGGGGAAUCUUGCGCAAUGGCCGAAAGGCGGACGCAGCGACGCCGCGUGGAGGAUGACGCCCUUCGGGGUGUAAACUCCUGUUGCCCGGGACGAAUACCCGUGUCGACGGGGGUGACGGUACCGGGUGAGGAAGCACCGGCUAACUCUGUGC